AACGAACGCUGGCGGCAGGCUUAACACAUGCAAGUCGAGCGCGCCCUUCGGGGUGAGCGGCGGACGGGUUAGUAACGCGUGGGAACGUGCCCUUUAGUAAGGAAUAGUCACUGGAAACGGUGGGUAAUACCUUAUACGCCCUUCGGGGGAAAGAUUUAUCGCUAAAGGAUCGGCCCGCGUUAGAUUAGAUAGUUGGUGGGGUAAUGGCCUACCAAGUCUACGAUCUAUAGCUGGUUUUAGAGGAUGAUCAGCAACACUGGGACUGAGACACGGCCCAGACUCCUACGGGAGGCAGCAGUGGGGAAUCUUAGACAAUGGGCGAAAGCCUGAUCUAGCCAUGCCGCGUGAGUGAUGAAGGUCCUAGGAUCGUAAAGCUCUUUCGCCAGGGAUGAUAAUGACAGUACCUGGUAAAGAAACCCCGGCUAACUCCGUGCCAGCAGCCGCGGUAAUACGGAGGGGGUUAGCGUUGUUCGGAAUUACUGGGCGUAAAGCGCGCGUAGGCGGAUCAGCAAGUUGGGGGUGAAAUCCCGGGGCUCAACCCCGGAACUGCCUCCAAAACUGUUGGUCUAGAGUUCGAGAGAGGUGAGUGGAACUCCGAGUGUAGAGGUGAAAUUCGUAGAUAUUCGGAAGAACACCAGUGGCGAAGGCGGCUCACUGGCUCGAUACUGACGCUGAGGUGCGAAAGUGUGGGGAGCAAACAGG
This 702-nucleotide ribosomal RNA is filed under the name uncultured bacterium. RNAcentral's name for it is "bacterial SSU rRNA". It matches the Rfam family "Bacterial small subunit ribosomal RNA", at positions 28 to 776 of the family's 1533-position model. The record is from RNAcentral.